RNAcentral lists this ribosomal RNA (1902 nucleotides) under Triticum aestivum (bread wheat). RNAcentral's name for it is "partial small subunit ribosomal RNA". Lineage: Eukaryota; Viridiplantae; Streptophyta; Magnoliopsida; Poales; Poaceae. The record is from RNAcentral.
AUGGCGAUCAUCCUGCUCCUCCUCCUACUCACACCGUCUCUGGCGGCACCCGACGUGUUCUGUGACAACGUCAAGGCCAUCGCCACCACUCUCUCCAAGAACGCCGCCUCUUCCCCGGUACACUUUGCCACCAAGACCUUUGGCGGCGCCCCCAACGUCGUCUUCGCGCUCGCGCUCUGCCGCGGCGACGUCCUCGAUGGUCCCGCCUGCGGUGACUGCAUCGCCAACUGGUUCGGCAAGGCGCUGAACCGGACCAGGUGCGACAAGGCCCGCUCCAGCUACGGCGACUGUAUCGUCGUCUAUAGCGCCGGCUAUGAUAUCCUAGCGGCGCCCUCGAAUACCACGGGAGGGUACGGCGAUAACACGCCGCCCUUCGAGCAGUGGAACAUCAAGAAUGUCACCACCGGCGACGUCCCCCUCGCCGUCGGCCUCGUCCGCGAGCUGCUGGUGGAGACUGCAGAGAAGGCGGCCACCACGCCACCGAGGCUGUACGCCACCGGCGUCAUGGACGUAGACGAGGUGACGACCUACCCAAAGGUGUACUCCCAGGCGCAGUGCACGCCGGACCUGUCCGCGGACGACUGCUCGGCGUGCCUGCUCCGUCUCCUCGGCAUGGUCAACUCCACCAUGUCCCUGCGAAUUGGUGGGCAGAUGGCUGUCACGCGGUGCUAUUUUAGGUAUGAGGCGUAUCGGUUCUACGACACCCAGCCCAUGCUGAGUCUGCCGUCGCGGCCACCGCCGACGACUCCGACCAAAUGCAGGAGCAUGUUGUGGGUAAUUGCGGUAGUUGCAGUUCCACUAUCGGCAGCAGCAUUUCUCUUCUUCAAUUGUUACUCUCGUCGUCUCAAAAGGCGAAGAAAAGGGAGAGAGGACCUAGUUUGGCAAGGGAAGAAUUCCGAGUUCUCUUUGUUUCACUUUGAACAGCUAUUGGAGGCAACAAGUAAAUUUUCAGAAGAAAACAAACUUGGACAAGGUGGCUUUGGUGCUGUCUAUAAGGGCCAGCUUCCAGAUGGGUUGGAGAUAGCGGUUAAGAGACUUGCUUCACAUUCAGGACAUGGUUUCACUGAGUUUAAAAAUGAAGUCCAGCUCAUAGCCAAACUCCAGCACACAAAUUUGGUUAGGUUCUUGGGAUGUUGCUCCCAAGAAGAGGAGAAAAUAUUGGUCUACGAAUACUUGCCAAACAAAAGCCUGGACAUCUUCAUCUUUGAUGAGUAUAAAAGAGCUUUACUAGAUUGGACAAAACUAUUAGAAAUAAUUGAAGGAGUAGCACAUGGACUCCAUUACUUACAUAAGCACUCUGGAUUGCUUGUCAUACUUCGAGAUCUUAAACCAAGCAACAUUCUCCUGGACAGCGAAAUGAAUCCCAAAAUUUCAGAUUUCGGGCUAGCAAAAAUAUUCAGCUCAAAUGACACUGAAGGCGACACUACAAGAAGAGUCGUUGGCACAUAUGGUUACAUGGCCCCUGCGUAUGCUUCGAAGGGCGUCUUCUCUAUUAAAUCCGAUGUCUUCAGCUUUCGUGUUGUCAUUUUUGAGAUCCUUAGCGGAAAACGGAAUUCUGGUAACCAACAAUGUGGAGGCUUCGUCAAUCUCCUUGGAUAUACAUGGCAAUUGUGGGAAGAGGGAAAGUGGAUCGAUCUCCUCGAUGCAUCAUUGCUUCCUGAUAUUCACUUGGCAAAGUUAAUGAGGUGCAUUAAUAUAGCAUUGUUAUGUGUGCAAGAGAAUGCAGUUGAUCGGCCAACCAUGGGAGAUAUUGUUGCAAUGCUAAGAAGUGAUACUAUGAUCUUGGCUAAGCCUAAGCAGCCAGCAUAUAUCAAUGUAAGGGUGGGAAAUGAAGAGACUUCCAAUGCUCCCGAGUCGUGCAGUAUUAAUGAUAUAACCAUAUCUGCCACAAUUCCUAGAUAG